Molecule: ribosomal RNA, 258 nt
Filed under: uncultured bacterium
Lineage: Bacteria
Description: partial 16S ribosomal RNA
Rfam family: Bacterial small subunit ribosomal RNA
Source: RNAcentral
CUUGCUUUCUUUGCUGGCGACCGGCGCACGGGUGAGUAACACGUAUCCAACCUGCCCUUUACUCGGGGGUAGCCUUUCGAAAGAAAGAUUAAUACCCGAUAGCAUAAUGAUUCCGCAUGGUUUCAUUAUUAAAGGAUUCCGGUAAAGGAUGGGGAUGCGUUCCAUUAGGUUGUUGGUGAGGUAACGGCCCACCAAGCCUUCGAUGGAUAGGGGUUCUGAGAGGAAGGUCCCCCACAUUGGAACUGAGACACGGUCCAA